GCCAGUGUGGCAUAGUGGUUUGAGUAUUGAAUUAUGACUCUGGAGGCCAUGGUUCGAUUCCCAGCUUGGCCA
Molecule: transfer RNA, 72 nt
Filed under: Phrynosoma platyrhinos (Desert horned lizard)
Lineage: Eukaryota; Metazoa; Chordata; Lepidosauria; Squamata; Phrynosomatidae
Description: tRNA-OTHER
Source: RNAcentral